RNAcentral lists this ribosomal RNA (253 nucleotides) under uncultured bacterium. RNAcentral's name for it is "partial 16S ribosomal RNA". It matches the Rfam family "Bacterial small subunit ribosomal RNA", at positions 524 to 776 of the family's 1533-position model. The record is from RNAcentral.
UACAGAGGGUGCAAGCGUUAAUCGGAAUUACUGGGCGUAAAGCGUGCGUAGACGGUUAUGUAAGACAGAUGUGAAAGCCCCGGGCUUAACCUGGGAAUGGCAUUUGAGACUGCAUAGCUAGGGUGCGGAAGAGGGAAGCGGAAUUUCAGGUGUAGCGGUGAAAUGCGUAGAUAUCGGAAGGAACACCAGUGGCGAAAGCGGCUUCCUGGUCCAGCACCGACGUUCAGGCACGAAAGCGUGGGGAGCAAACAGG